AUUGAACGCUGGCGGCAGGCCUAACACAUGCAAGUCGAGCGGUAGAGAGGUGCUUGCAUCUCUUGAGAGCGGCGGACGGGUGAGUAAUGCCUAGGAAUCUGCCUAGUGGUGGGGGAUAACGUUCGGAAACGGACGCUAAUACCGCAUACGUCCUACGGGAGAAAGCGGGGGAUCUUCGGACCUCGCGCCAUUAGAUGAGCCUAGGUCGGAUUAGCUAGUUGGUGAGGUAAUGGCUCACCAAGGCGACGAUCCGUAACUGGUCUGAGAGGAUGAUCAGUCACACUGGAACUGAGACACGGUCCAGACUCCUACGGGAGGCAGCAGUGGGGAAUAUUGGACAAUGGGCGAAAGCCUGAUCCAGCCAUGCCGCGUGUGUGAAGAAGGUCUUCGGAUUGUAAAGCACUUAAGUUGGGAGGAAGGGUAGUAACCUAAUACGUUGCUACUUUGACGUUACCGACAGAAUAAGCA
RNAcentral lists this ribosomal RNA (468 nucleotides) under uncultured bacterium. Its description in RNAcentral is "bacterial SSU rRNA". It matches the Rfam family "Bacterial small subunit ribosomal RNA", at positions 30 to 492 of the family's 1533-position model. The record is from RNAcentral.